GGGUAAUCAGCAGUGAUUAAUUUUGUACAUAAGCGCAAGCUUGAUUCAGUUAAAGAAAAGAGGGCCGGCUAACGUUGGUGCCAGCCGCCGCGGCUACACCCUAGGGCUCAAGUUGAUAAUCAUCGGCGUUAAGCGUGAUUAAAGUUACUAAAAUAUUAGGAUUAAAUUAACACUUAGUAGUUUUAUGCUUGUUGUUAAGAAACACACAAACGAAAGUUAUCCUAUAUAUACUUGAAUACACGACAGCUAGGAAGACAAACUGGGAUUAGAUACCCCACUAUGCCUAGCCGUAAACAAUUAAUUUACACCUAUCAGCGCCAGGGAACUACGAGCAAUGCUUAAAACCCAAAGGAUUUGACGGUGUCCCACCCAGCUAGAGGAGCCUGUUCUAUAAUCGAUGAUCCCCGCUACACCCGACCAUUUUUAGCUAAUCAGUCUGUAUACCUCCGUCGAAAGCUUACCAUGUGAACGCUCUUCAGUAGGCUCAAUGAUUCAAUACCCAUCAACACGUCAGGUCAAGGUGCAGCUUAAGAAAUGGGAAGCUAUUGGCUACAAUUUCUAACUUAGAACAAACGAAAGGCUAUGUGAAAUCAUAACCAUGAAGGUGGAUUUAGUAGUAAAAAGAAAAUAGAGUGUUCUUUUUAACCCGGCUCUG
Molecule: ribosomal RNA, 655 nt
Filed under: Lithobates berlandieri (Rio Grande leopard frog)
Lineage: Eukaryota; Metazoa; Chordata; Amphibia; Anura; Ranidae
Description: partial small subunit ribosomal RNA
Rfam family: Bacterial small subunit ribosomal RNA
Source: RNAcentral